AUUUACUUGCCUCCCAAAAUUUCAUAGCAGUUCAUCCAUUUUCCCCACUUAAUUAUGAAUUUAUUCCAAAAUACCCUCCCCGCCUUAGUUAUCCCACUUCCUCAAAAUCCCUAACCCUAAACUCACUCCUAAUCCCGCUUCAUCAAAAUCCCUCUCCACCGCACCAUCAGAUGAACCGGCCCCAAAAUUUCAUAGCAGUUCAACCCAAGGGAACUUUCUAUGGAUAAAUUUGCAAUCAGUUGAACUUUAAUUUGCACUCUUUUGUUCAACACUAUUGCAAUUUGAAGUUAUGCCACUUUGAAGCAGUCAAUCCUUUGAUAUAUUUACCAGAGGUUGCUAAAUAGACCAAAUGGAAUGACCGACGAAGAAAUUUAUGACCAGUUUAAUGUCAUGAAAAAGUUAAUGGAUGAUCGAUCAUUUGGAUAGAAUAUAUACAAUCAGGUCAUUGUUACACUAGUAUCAGUUUGCGCAGUGAACUUAAAUCAAAACCGGUAAUGGUACGUGAAUAAUACUUUCCUGUUGUAUAUUUCAGCAAAAAUUGCCACGUGACAUGAAGCACAAGAUAGAGUUUCCAAAACAUGCUAGCUGGCAUUUGUGAUUCAUAUGGGUUGAUUUUGGGUGUCUUUUGAUUCAAGUUUAUCACAUAUUAAUUAUUUGUUGAAGUUCAUACUAUGUACAAAAAAGUGUUUGUAGAUCAAGAAAGCCUUGUCUGGUGCUAACAAUUAACUUGUUUCACUCUAAGCACGUUUUGACACUAAUGUGAUCUGUUUGGUGUUAAUUAAACUUUUUAAGGUGUACUAAAUGGAUUAAUGACAACAUUAGUCAGAUUCGUCUUAAUGGUUUUAUGAUAAGGAUCGUCAAGGGAUUCGAUGAAGAUAUAUAUGGCAUGAUGAUUGAAAAAUCGAACUUGGUUAUCAAGGAGCUCGUUAAGGAAAAGAAUGAAGAAAAAGAAAGGUUAAAUGGAAUUAUUGCGGGCUUGUUGGCUGAAAAAGAAAAAGAUAAGGUGGACAAAGAUGUCAUGCUCAAUAGGAUGUCACAAAUUGAAGCUAUGUUAACCGCUAUGAUUCGAAGAUAGGCUAUAAACACUUGGUUUUGAACGUUUUGAUGUUUAUCAUAUUUGGAUAAUUUCGGUAAUUUGAUGUUUUAGUUGGCAUUUAGAUUAGAAUGUUUUAUAAUUUUAUAUAUUUUUCGGAUUUUGUAAUUUUA
Helianthus annuus (common sunflower) is the source of this 1206-nucleotide long non-coding RNA. RefSeq lists it as uncharacterized. The record is from RefSeq and is a predicted model, not a curated record. The transcript has 3 exons. Lineage: Eukaryota; Viridiplantae; Streptophyta; Magnoliopsida; Asterales; Asteraceae.